RNAcentral lists this transfer RNA (69 nucleotides) under Heterocephalus glaber (naked mole-rat). It matches the Rfam family "tRNA". Rfam says of the family: Transfer RNA (tRNA) molecules are approximately 80 nucleotides in length. Their secondary structure includes four short double-helical elements and three loops (D, anti-codon, and T loops). Lineage: Eukaryota; Metazoa; Chordata; Mammalia; Rodentia; Bathyergidae. The record is from Rfam by way of RNAcentral.
GGGGAUGAAGCUCAAUGGUAGAGCACCUGCUUAGCAUGCGGGUGUACCUGGAUUCCAUCUCCAGCACCA